UACGGAGGGGGCUAGCGUUGCUCGGAAUCACUGGGCGUAAAGCGCACGUAGGCGGCUUUCUAAGUCAGGGGUGAAAUCCUGGAGCUCAACUCCAGAACUGCCUUUGAUACUGAGAAGCUUGAGUCCGGGAGAGGUGAGUGGAACUGCGAGUGUAGAGGUGAAAUUCGUAGAUAUUCGCAAGAACACCAGUGGCGAAGGCGGCUCACUGGCCCGGUACUGACGCUGAGGUGCGAAAGCGUGGGGAGCAAACAGG
RNAcentral lists this ribosomal RNA (253 nucleotides) under uncultured bacterium. RNAcentral's name for it is "partial 16S ribosomal RNA". It matches the Rfam family "Bacterial small subunit ribosomal RNA", at positions 524 to 776 of the family's 1533-position model. The record is from RNAcentral.